Molecule: transfer RNA, 62 nt
Filed under: Ornithodoros turicata
Lineage: Eukaryota; Metazoa; Arthropoda; Arachnida; Ixodida; Argasidae
Also listed under: 1 other name
Description: tRNA-Cys
Source: RNAcentral
AAGUCUUAUAUUUUAUAUAAAAAUAUUAAAUUGCAAAUUUAAAGAAGAGCUUCUAAGACUUA